Atta colombica is the source of this 598-nucleotide long non-coding RNA. RefSeq lists it as uncharacterized. The transcript is spliced from 3 exons. NCBI's taxonomy places the organism in Eukaryota, Metazoa, Arthropoda, Insecta, Hymenoptera, Formicidae. The record is from RefSeq and is a predicted model, not a curated record.
ACUUUCCGCUCUAGUCGUAGAAUUCUCAAAGCACGAUUGUUGUGUGACGUUAUGCGAUUUCACCGCGACUUCAGUGUCUUCUGCGUCGCACUUAAUAUGUCACCGAACAUUUCAGAUUAUUAGAUGCAACGUCGUAAUUCCACGUUAUUAGACUCAAUCGAGUGAAGAAUUGCGACAAAAAUUAUUUUUUCAUCUCUGGCCUAAAAACUAACUAUAAUAAAAAACUAGGGAAUUCAUUUGGAUGUUUUUAUACGCCAGUGCAACGGGAAUAAAAAACGGAAAGAAGACUGAGAGAAGACGGAAAACCGGAGGGAUGAGAAGAGCACAAUGAAAAAGAGAAGCGAAGCAAACAGGUAGAGAAGAAGUGGCGUAGCUUGAUUAGACCAAGAAUUACGGAAGCUCUUUGAGCACAGGGAGAUUAUGUAAGGCCGUUGUAGCACCGUAAAAACUGGGCGCAAUCGCGACGACUGGCGCCUCCUAAUUGGCGUGCCUAUGCCACGUUAUGGCGCGAUAAUAAUUGUUUCUUGACGUUUCGUAAUAGCGGCUUACGCUUUUUUCCUCUCCGUUUUCUCCUCGACUCUCCUCCUGCUUCUCCUCA